AGCGCAGCUUCCGGCCGCUUCCGCCUGGUCUCCAGGGAAACCAUGAGCCGACCGCCCCCAGCCGCUUCGGCCUUCACGGCUGCGUAGUCCGGGCCGACCAGGCAGUUGCCGGGAGGAACGCGCGAGCUAGAUCUUUGGAGAGAGUCCCACACCACAAAUUUUAACUUUUUAGCUUUACAAAGAGGCCAGCCUGUUCUCCCGAUAACUGUUAGCAAAAUUGGUAACCCUUAGACACUAAACGACGUACGGUGAUGGACGGUGAGAGACAGGGUGGGAAUUAUGGUAAGAGCAAGGCGGCCGUGUAAAGUAAUAUGAUUAGCAAGUAUGUUAAAGUUUGUUGCGUUUUGUUUGUUGUUCGAUUCAAAGACACUGUGACAGAUUAGACCCCUGAACUCUUAAUUAUCUAAGGUCCAUAGGGUUGUGAUAUAUGCGUUUUGGAAUCAUAAAAUUUCCAAUCCAGACCCUCCAACUUGCUAACUGUGUGACUUUGGCAGGUUGCAUAGUUGCUCUGAGCUUCAAUUUCAACACUGUAAAAAAGAAAAAAAAAAGUUUUCACUGUCUUGAGAGUGAAUGAAUGAAAACUAACAUAUACUUUAGUAUUCCCAUGACACCUGGCACAUAGAAGGUGCUCAAUAAAUGUUAAUUCUCUUUGCCUUCUGUUAAGAUGUUUGUGUGCCUCUGUGUGUGUGUGUGUGUGUGUGUGUGUUCUAAUAGAGGAAAUUUGGUCAUUUCUCUGUGUGUGUUUCUAUGUAUUUGUACACAUUCAUACACACAUAUUUUGCUUUUUUACAGGAUUCUGUUCUUACAAGUAGGAUGUGAAAACCUUGACAAACGCUUUAAAGGAUAUGCUGAUGCAUCCCUAAAGAAAAAGAAAUAACAGGCAGAACUGGGGUUCAGUUUGGAGACCAAGUCUUCCUCUUUGGGGGAACAAAUCGAAUCAGAAAAGACUAAGAAAGAUGAGGAAAUAUCUCAGACUGGAGGAGACUUAGAAAAUGUAACAAAUAUAUGAGAGCUAGGAUCCUGGAUCAGAUCCUGGGACAGAAAAAGGACGUUGGGAGAAAAACAGGCAAAUUUGAAUCAGUUAUGCGGUCACUAGUUUUGUACCAGUGUUUGUCUCCUGCUUUUGAUAAUUUUAUUAUCGAUUUGUACGCUGUUAACAUUAGAGAAACUGAGUAGAGGGGAGACAACAACUUUCUGAAUUAUUUUUGCAACUUCUUUCCAACUUUUGUAAGUCUAAAAUUAUUUCAAAAUAAAAAGGUUUUUUUUUUGUAAUUGCGUUGGAAAAUUCCUCAGGAAAUUGUUACUGCAGAGGGAAACAUACUAUUUCUCAACAGUUCCAAUAGAGCUGGUUUCCCCUCCAGCUUUGAACCAGAGCAUUGUUUCUUUAGCUAAACAGCAGAUAAAGUACAGUUUUUGACCUGUGCUUUAGGAAUAUUUUGGACAGAAAUAUACAUUUCAAGGUGCCAGAAUUAUACUUUGCACCGCAAAAUGUCUGUCCUUGGAGAAGACUAUUGGAGGCAAGACCAACUGAGAGAAAGAUCCACAUUUCUCAUCUUGUAUUUAUGCUAGAGUAUUGGCUCAUUGAGUGGGCUAUUGGGCUAAAUUGCCUAAAUAAUUUAAAAUUGGGGAAAAUUUUUCCUCUUUCCAUUUUUUUUCUUUCUUGUCAAGUGCAUAUAGUUGAAUUUGAAUAAGUAAAAUGUAGAUAACAUUUGACUUCACUGUGGUCCAGUGGAGGAAGUAAAUACCCACAAAUUUUGCUAAUCAAGUGCUGGGGGAGUUCACUCUUUGAGAUCAUCUUGUAAAUGAUAAAAUCAUUAAAAGUAAGUCCUUUCGGCAGUUUAGCAAUAAUACCACUUUAUAAUUACUCUUCAGUAAUCACCUAGCACAUGCUUGCCCAUUUGUCUCUCUCUAGUCUAAUGCAUAACUCAAGAAGGAAAUGUCUCUGUUUUACAGAGGAGGGGAAAUGGAGGCUCAGAAAAGUUAAACAACUGGCCCGAUCUAGGCUUUGACCUCAGAUUGCGCUAUCUCUAAAUGUCUCACUAUUUGUAUGGGUUGACCUAGCCUGAAACAAAUUCUACCUUUAGUGAAGUUGUAUCAUAGUGAAAUUUCAGUAAUACAAGUCCUUUGACAUAUUUGAAAUAUUCUGCUAAUUAUAAGAGGAAAUGUGAUACUGGAAAAUGAUCUUACAUAAUUCUAUUUUCUUCAAUAUGUAGAAAUAGAUGAGAAAAUCCAAGGUCUUCUAGUUAUCAAGUUAUUAGGUUCUUUUAGUAAUGGAAUGUAUUAAGCUAAUAAAUUAUGUAUUUCAUAAGUACAUUAACUUAACUAUAUCAGGAUCCUGGAGUGCUUUUUAAUAAUGUAUGGUAUUGCAGUAUAAUAAAUGUGCUUUUUAAAAGCCAGAAAAGAGGUCAGUGAUCUAAAACAAGUAACUCAACAUUUACUUUAAAAAGUCUACUCAUUGGCCCUUUAUUUACCAUUCAGAACUAUAGUGAAAAAUUUAUGGGUAAUCUCCUAGGCACAAAGUUACCAUUUCAAAGCAAGGAUAAAUAACCAAUCUUACUCUGAUCUCAUUGACAGUUCCAACUAAAUAAUUUAAUUAUGGACUUUGGACAUGGGAAAUAUUAUUCAGUUGAGCUUUUAUUCUAGAAUACAGAUGCUCUGUAAUUGGAUCGGUAGACAAAGAUCAUUUGCUUGAUAAAGAGGGAAGAAAAACGUUGUGCCUGUUGCUGCUUUCACCUUACAAUUAAAGUGACAUAAUUAGAUAGUAUACUUUCUCACCCUGUUAUAAGAUACAGGUUUAAACUUAUCCCUUACAUCACAAAACCCACAAGUUUCAUUCCCUGUGCAUCAGCAGCCCUUCUCAGUGAAGUCGAAAUGGAGUAAAGGGGUUCUGAGAUCCUCAUUGUCUGAUCAGACAGUGUUCUCUCCAAGGGGUGUAAUAAGCAAAGAACACCAGCGCUCCUUACCUGACUUUUCAGGACUGUAGUGUGACCUGCAUGAUCACUGCUUCCUAAACUUUCCUGAGCACAAGAAUAAUCUAGAUGCCAACUUAAAAUACCUUUUCCUAGGCAUGUCUUCUAGAAAUUAUAAUUUAAUAGAUGGUAGUGAGGCCUAAGAUUCUGAAUUUUAGGCAAAUGUCACAGAUGACGAGGCAUAUUUGAGACACAAAUUUUAAAAAACAAAGCAUCUGGGGCUCCUAUGGGGUGUUAUCAGAAUCUGGAAACAGUAGAACUCUGCUAUUUGUCAAAUUUCAGUUUUCCUCAUUUAUGAACUUUUUAACCUCUCCUUCAAUGUCCAUUUUAAAGGGUAAUAAUAAUAUAUAUGUCUUAAAUUUAUAGUAAAUAUUAAAUAGGAAGGAUCCAGGCUCUUGCUCGGGCUCCAGACUGUCUGGUCUGGGGAUCAGCAGCUAGCAGCCCCUGAGCACUUGUUACAAAUGCAGAAUGUCAGCCCCUGCCCCAGACCCGCUGAAUCUGAACAUGCUUGUUAGGAGGAUGUCUUGGGUGAUUCAUAUGCACAGUAACGUUGGUGAAGCCGCAACCUAGUCACUUUGUGAGUGUUCAGGAAAUGCUAGAUUAUUUCCUUCUCAUUACAGUCGUUGUACCAAUACUUCGUAUUGGAGCUCAGUGACUGUCAACACCAUUUCUUAUUGCUGGUUUCAGCCCAGCAGGCACACUUGCCUCUCUUGCACGGUGGAAGGGCAUCCAUAAAUAAACAAAUGCAUGGACUGGAAAUCAGGCUACCGCAAAAGAUUUAUCGUUGAACCCUGCAGCGUCAGAAGAGGAGAAUUAGGUAGAACCUGUCUUACUGCAUCAAAGACAUUUUCGGUGAACGCCCAUCCUCGGAGGCUUCUGCUUACACUAUACUCUGUAGCUAAGCCAGCAGACUGACUUCAACCACAACCACACGUCUCAUGUUUUCAAUGCUCUGCAGAGGGUGGUAGAUUCAUUCUUACCUAUUGUUCCUAAGCUCUUGGGGAAAGAUCUGUAUAUGGAAAGAUUGAAUGCCAAGUUGAGUAUGCCUGAAAUCCACAUGUAGGUCUUUGAACUCACUACCCUUCCUUUGCAGUGGUGUGGAGGUCAAACUUACUUGCUCUUUUCCAUUUCAGUUGAAUAGAUUCAACAGUGAAAAUGAGACAUGCCUCGAAAUCGAGAAAGUAAGGGAGAACAUCUGUUACUAAGAUCAAUGGGUCACCAAAGAAUUAGGUCUUCAACAAAAAGGGUUUUGUACCUAAAUUCACCAAAUAAACCAUCCUUCACGGUAUAGGUUGAAUUGUGUGGUCCCCAAAUUCAUAUGUUGACAUCCUAACCCUCAGUACCUCAGAAUGUGACCUUUCUUAGAGAUGGGGUUUUUACAGAGGGAAUCGUGUUAAAAUGAGGUCACUAGGGUGAAUCCUAAUCCAAUAUGACCAGUGUCCUUAUAAGAAGAGGGAAUUUAGACACAGUCACAGGGGGAAGUCUGAAGACACAUGGGGAGAAGAUGGCCAUCCAUCACUUCAAGGAGAAAGGCCCGGAACACAUUCUUACCUCAAAAGAAACAAACCCUGCUAAUACUUUGAUUUGGGGCUUCGAGCCUCAAGAACUGUGAGACAAUAAACUUCUAUUGUUUAAGCCACCCAGUUUGUGAUACUUUGUUGCAAUAGCCUUAGCAAGUUAAUACACCUCAUGAGUCACUAGGAAGA
Molecule: long non-coding RNA, 4675 nt
Organism: Ailuropoda melanoleuca (giant panda)
Lineage: Eukaryota; Metazoa; Chordata; Mammalia; Carnivora; Ursidae
Exons: 5
Source: RefSeq, a predicted model, not a curated record